GGCGAGAUGGCCGAGCGGUCUAAGGCGCCAGACUAAGGACCAGGAAGUUUGACUUCCACCUAGUGAGUUGAUACUCAAUCUAUCUGGUCACAAUGUGGCGUGGGUUCGAAUCCCACUCUCGUCA
Crepidotus variabilis is the source of this 124-nucleotide non-coding RNA. The record is from the annotation of a GenBank genome assembly. NCBI's taxonomy places the organism in Eukaryota, Fungi, Basidiomycota, Agaricomycetes, Agaricales, Crepidotaceae.